UUGUGAUUCAUGACUGGGGUGAAGUCGUAACAAGGUAACCGUAGGGGAACCUGCGGUUGGAUCACCUCCUUACCUUAAAGAA
This 82-nucleotide ribosomal RNA is filed under the name Klebsiella pneumoniae. RNAcentral's name for it is "partial 16S ribosomal RNA". The stretch from base 1 to 72 matches the Rfam family "Bacterial small subunit ribosomal RNA", at positions 1462 to 1533 of the family's 1533-position model. The record is from RNAcentral. RNAcentral also lists the same sequence under 6 other names. Lineage: Bacteria; Pseudomonadati; Pseudomonadota; Gammaproteobacteria; Enterobacterales; Enterobacteriaceae.